CUUCACCCUACAGGAGAGAAAGGCCACAGGGAGAAAUGUCACCGCCGUGUCACAGCCCGCGCGCACGCACUCGCACACUCGGGGCUGUGGCUGCAGGGGCAGGGCGAGAUAACACGAAAGAAAAGCAAAAGAAAAAAGAAAAAAAAAAAAAAAAACAAGCGCCUCGGUGCAAACUGCCAGAUCCAAACCGCACAGUGCGGCGCAGGAGGGGGCCCGUGUGGGGUCUCAGAGUUCCCACGCGAAGUGCCCCCGGCGCUCUCCAGGACCGCCUAGGUGCGUUUCUACAAUCGCCGGCGGAUUCGGCAGCACCCGGCGAAUCCUGGAGCCCCACAGUGAUGGCCAGGUGGAUGCGCGCUAAGGUGACCACUGUGACAGCAAAAAGGUGUUCUGCUCUCUGCAACAAUUUGACUGUUUGAAACCCGUGCUGAGUGCAGUCCUGAAGUCAGCCAAACCUGCUUGCAGGGAAUAGCAAUCGUGAAAAAGUAACAAAGAUGUUGAAAGAAUCUACAGUCUCCAUUUUCCUCAAAUUCAACAGCAGAUACAUUCUGCAGACUGCAAAAUACAAGUAAAGGCUGCCCCAGCGGGCAGAGGGUACAGAAGAAGCUGCAUUGAGGAUGCUGGACAGAAGGCAGAAGUCUUUGGACAAACAAAGAGUGGUUUAUUCAUGUAAUUAAAUACUAUUCAGCACUAAAAAUGAACCAUGACAACCUGCAAGAAAUAGCAUGAACGAGUCUCAGAAGCAUUACCGUUGAGCAAAAGAAGCUGGGCACAGAAGAGUUUCUACUGGAAUGAUUUCUAAAGGAGUAAAUUCUCCAAAAACUAGGAAACCUAAUCUAUGGAGGAGAAUCUGGAACUGCCCAAGUGGGAGACACUGGGUAAGUUAUGACAAGGGCACAAGAACACUUUCUAGGGUGACACAAAUGCUCCAAACGAUGCUGCAGGUGCAGUUUGCCCAGAUGAACAAUAUCGCCAGGACGCAAAAAUUUGAACAUGGUAAGAUCUGUGCAUUUUACUGCAUGUAGAUUGUGUCUCCAUUUUUAAUAAAUGAUGAUUAUCAUUAUUCUCUUUACAAUAUUUAUGCCAGCAAUAAUAAUGUUGUUUUCAAGACAUGCUGACAGACUACCUUGCUUUGUGAUAAUUGCCUUAUUGUUUUAUAACUGUUUGUAACUUUAUAAAGUCUUCAUGAAUGUGAUUCACUGCAAUAAUAAAGUUGUGAAACACUUCAAAUGACAAGUGGCAGGCUGGGGAAAAUAUUUGCGACUCAUCUCUCAGACAAAGGGCUAAUCACCUUUGCACAGAUGAUUUCUUAAAAACUCAUUCUAAAAACUUCAUAAAUUACCAAAGUAAAGACAACUUUGCUCUGGGAGUGGAGUGGUUUCAUCACAAAUGGGAGUAGAUAAUUUUCCUGCUUCUGCUUUCAAGUUUGUGCCUUACAAAAGAAUGGGAAAGGGGAGAGAGGGAGCAAAGGAGGGAAGAGGAAUACAAGUGUAACCACACCUCUGCUAAAAGAAAACACUGUACAGAAACAUGCCAACAUAGCAGUAACAUGAGGGGAAAUUAGGGGACUUUUUUUCUGAUGGAUUAUCUCUGUUCUCUAGUAUGAACAUACAUUACUUUCUGCUCACUUAUAGGAAAUGCUAUGAUGCAAAUUAGGACUAUUUCUGGUGAACCUAUUAUACUUACAAAUACUUUAAAUAAUUUUCAUGGAGUUCAAUUUAUGAGUCAAAUUUUAUUCCUUAACAGGCAAUGC
Molecule: non-coding RNA, 1750 nt
Organism: Oryctolagus cuniculus (rabbit)
Lineage: Eukaryota; Metazoa; Chordata; Mammalia; Lagomorpha; Leporidae
Source: RefSeq, a predicted model, not a curated record